RNAcentral lists this transfer RNA (101 nucleotides) under Limnochordaceae bacterium. Its description in RNAcentral is "tRNA-Sec". It matches the Rfam family "Selenocysteine transfer RNA". The record is from RNAcentral. Lineage: Bacteria; Bacillati; Bacillota; Limnochordia; Limnochordales; Limnochordaceae.
GGAGGGACAUGGGCUCCUGGUGGGCCCCGAGGGCUUCAAACCCUUCGGGAGGGGCGCAUGUUGCGUCUCUCGGUGGGUUCGAUUCCCACGUCCUUCCGCCA